RNAcentral lists this ribosomal RNA (274 nucleotides) under uncultured rumen bacterium. RNAcentral describes it as "partial 16S ribosomal RNA". It matches the Rfam family "Bacterial small subunit ribosomal RNA", at positions 397 to 670 of the family's 1533-position model. The record is from RNAcentral.
CCACGUGUGGGAAGAAGCAUUUCGGUGUGUAAACCACUGUCGUGAGGGAAUAAGGCUGUUUUUCGGCGCAGUUGAAUGUACCUCGAGAGGAAGCACCGGCAAACUUCGUGCCAGCAGCCGCGGUAAUACGAGGGGUGCAAGCGUUGUUCGGAAUCACUGGGCGUAAAGGGAGCGCAGGCGGAAGCUCAAGCGGAUUGUACAAUACCGGGGCCCAACCCCGGACCUGCAGUCCGAACUGGGUCUCUUGGAUAGUUCAGGGGCAAGGCGGAAUUCC